UACAGAGGUCUCAAGCGUUGUUCGGGUUCAUUGGGCGUAAAGGGUGCGUAGGCGGCGCGGUAAGUCGGGUGUGAAAUCUCGGAGCUUAACUCCGAAACUGCAUUCGAUACUGCCGUGCUUGAGGACUGGAGAGGAGACUGGAAUUUACGGUGUAGCGGUGAAAUGCGUAGAUAUCGUAAGGAAGACCAGUGGCGAAAGCGGCUCACUGGACCAUAACUGACGCUGAUGCACGAAAGCUAGGGGAGCAAACAGG
RNAcentral lists this ribosomal RNA (253 nucleotides) under uncultured bacterium. RNAcentral's name for it is "partial 16S ribosomal RNA". It matches the Rfam family "Bacterial small subunit ribosomal RNA", at positions 524 to 776 of the family's 1533-position model. The record is from RNAcentral.